UCUAAAUAUUAAAUUCUAAUCUAUCCUAAUAUAAAAUUGAGAUGAAAUGUAUGUGGCAUCAAACUAUUCGUAAAGGUGCGAUUUCACGAUGACGCUUGACGCCAGCUUCGAGCGUCGAAUUCGAUCACACUGUAUAAUUUCGAUCAAAGCGCCAUCUAGAUAAAGAGCAGUGAUAAAGCUGAAAAUUCUGAGCUUUAUUUAAUUGACGCUUAUGUACUAUUUAAUUAAAUUAAAAAUAUUAUUUAUUGUUUAUGAAACAUUAAAAUAAAAAAAAUAUAAUGGAUUUCGAUGAGGGUCGUUUAUUUCGUCAAAAUGACGCUUGACGCUAAAAGUUUGACGCUGCUUUUUAUCUAGAUGGCACUCUAAUCGAAAUUAUACAGUGUGAUCAAAUUUGACGCUCGAAGCUGGCGUCAAGCGUCGUCGUGAAAUCGCACCUUAAGUUGUAACCUCAUGAUGACGCUUGACGCUAGCUUUGAGCGUCAAACUAUAGCUCCACCUAGCUGAAAUAAAUAAAGACAUAUCCAGCGUCAAAUGCCAGCGUCAAAUUAAAAAAAUCAGCGGCGAAAAAAAUGUAUGAAUAUCGAAAGUCGAUAUCUCGAGAUAUACCUAGAAGCUAGUUCUUAACCUAAUUUUUAUAAAAACACAUGGUAAUAGUAAAAUAACUUAUGACAACAAUAAAUGUUAAACAUUAAUGAAAUAAUUACAUCAAAUUUAAGUGACUUAUCGAAAUUUCAAUGGCAGAUGAAUAUGAUUAUCAAUUGUGGAUUUAUCAGUGUCAAAAAAUAAUUCAAGCGCAAAUAAAAAAAAAAAUUCGACGUAAAAGGAUCAUAUGUGCUUUAUUAUGCAAUGAAAUAGUUAUCCAGAGAUCUAAAAAAAAAUAUACACCAAAGAAAUUUUGGAUCCAUCCUUUAUUUAAAUUACGACGAGAGCAUGGAUUUUUCGAAGCCGUCUUCCCAACUCUUUCUUCAUACUCUGAAAAAAUUGAAAAUUAUAUUCGAAUGACAGCUGUACAAUUUGAGCAGCUCUUAUAUCUAGUUGGCCCGAAAAUAUCAA
Cotesia glomerata is the source of this 1053-nucleotide long non-coding RNA. RefSeq lists it as uncharacterized. The record is from RefSeq and is a predicted model, not a curated record. Lineage: Eukaryota; Metazoa; Arthropoda; Insecta; Hymenoptera; Braconidae. The transcript is spliced from 2 exons.